RNAcentral lists this long non-coding RNA (1489 nucleotides) under Chrysemys picta bellii (western painted turtle). Its description in RNAcentral is "lncRNA (ENSCPBG00000003677.1)". The record is from RNAcentral. Lineage: Eukaryota; Metazoa; Chordata; Testudines; Emydidae.
NNNNNNNNNNNNNNNNNNNNNNNNNNNNNNNNNNNNNNNNNNNNNNNNNNNNNCAUGGUAGAGGAGGGCAAGAAGGUGGCUCGGACCUCCUUGCAGGCCUCCUUGGACAUUGCAGACUCAGCUGCGAGAACCCUGGCUUCGGGUAUCGCUAUGCGUAGGAUUUCCUGGCUUCAGGUUUCGGGGUUGCCUCCGGAGCUGCAGCAAACCCUACAAGAUCUGCCUUUUGAGGGUCAUGGAUUGUUCUCAGAUAAGACGGACUCUCGCCUGCAGAGCCUCAAGGACUCGAGAACAAUCAUGCGCUCCCUGGGGAUGCAUGUUGUGGGCCCCCAGCGCAGGCCAUUUAGGCCGCAGCCUCAGCGCUUCUACCCCCCCCCGCCUCGUCAGAGACAGGACUCGGCCCGGAGGCGAGGGCGAGGGGGAAGAAGAAGGUGGACCGGCCCUCAACCCGGCCAGAACCAGGGGCCACCUCGACCACCUUCAGGCCCCAGGCAGAACUUUUGAAGGUGCGGUCGAGGACGGCGCCCCAGUCAUCCCCCAGGAUCCAGCCCACUCCUUUCGGGAUCGCCUUUCCCAUUUCCACCGUGCUUGGUCCCUUAUAACUUCGGACCGUUGGGUCCUCCGCACGGUGGAGAGGGGAUACGCUAUCCAGUUUUCUUCAUUCCCCCCCUCCUCCCCCCCUUCCCCGUCCCUCUUCAGGGACCCUUCUCACGAGCAACUUCUUAUUCAGGAGGUUUCUACGCUCCUCGCUAUGGGGGCCAUAGAGGAGGUUCCAGCGGAGUUAAAGGGCAGGGGAUUCUAUUCCCGUUACUUCCUCAUUCCCAAGUCCAAAGGAGGUCUGCGACCCAUCUUGGACUUGCGCGGACUCAACAAAUUCGUAGUAAAGUUGAAGUUCCGCAUGGUCUCUCUGGGGGCCAUUAUCCCUUCCCUCGAUCCUGGAGACUGGUUCGCCGCCCUCGACAUGAAAGACGCAUACUUCCACAUUGCAAUCUACCCGCCUCACAGACGCUUCCUGCGAUUCGUGGUAAACAGGGUGCACUACCAAUUUGCAGUCCUUCCCUUCGGCCUAUCCUCGGCCCCACGGGUGUUCACGAAAUGUAUGGCUGUCGUGGCAGCGUGCCUUCGUCGGCAAGGGAUACAGGUGUUCCCGUACCUAGACGACUGGCUGGUACGCGGUCGCACCAAGGAACAAGUUCGCGAUCACGUCCACAUAAUAGUGCGCACAUUCAACAAGUUGGGUAUCCUACUCAACAAGGACAAAUCCACUCUAGAACCUACCCAGAGAAUAGAAUUCAUCGGUGCGGUUCUAGACUCCAGACGCGCACAAGCCAUCCUGCCAGACAAUCGCUUUUGCACCAUCACGAGCCUCAUUCAAGGACUCAAGGCCUUCCCAACUACCACGGUGAGGUCGUGCCUUACCCUCCUGGGUCACAUGGCUUCCUGCACGUACGUAACCAGGCAUGCCAGACUUCGGCUUCGCCCACUCCAGACC